This is a long non-coding RNA of Astyanax mexicanus (Mexican tetra), 700 nucleotides long. RefSeq lists it as uncharacterized. The transcript is spliced from 2 exons. The record is from RefSeq and is a predicted model, not a curated record. Lineage: Eukaryota; Metazoa; Chordata; Actinopteri; Characiformes; Acestrorhamphidae.
AGACAGGGCUGCCAGAGUCACUGGUCAGAGAUGCGGCCAAAAAUGCGUCUGGGAGUAAACAGGAUUUUAUUGGAAUAUCUGAAUUUUUAGCUGUGUGUGAUAGUAAUGUUAUGAAACGUGCUGAAAGUGAGCGUUGUGAUUGGCUCAGUUCAACGGUAGUCAACAUCCUAUCUAAAAGGGAUCAGCUGUCCCAUUUCCCCAAUUACAGCUCCUUCCCUCCAUUCCUCCUCCUCCUCUCCUCUCCUCGAUUCCUCCACCUUCUUCCGGGGUAGGAGAGGAGGAGUAGGAAAGGAGGAGUAGGAGAGGAGGAGUAGCAAAAGUUUCUGGACGCAGCCCGUGGCUGCGUCCGAAAUCGCGUACUUCCAUACUAAACAGUAUGCAAAAGCAGUAUGCGAGAUCGGGUAGUGUGUCCGAAUGCGCAGUAGGCGAGUUUGAGUACGCGAAAAGUUCCCGGAUGACGUACUGCACCGGGAGACAUUUUUAAGUAUACAAGCCCAGCACACUUCACCCGCUAAUAUUUCCCACAAUCCACCGGGAGCCGCGCUGAGCUGAGUGACCCGUCAGUGAGCGGCGGAGCGGCGGAGGAGAGGAGUGGAGAGAGAGAGAAGUUUAUGAGAUUCAACUAUCCUUCCUACUCGAGAGGAUGAAGAUGAAGAGAGGGAGAAAAAUGAACAAUGAAUAAAAAAAAUAAAUAAAGCUA